GACGAACGCUGGCGGCGUGCCUAAUACAUGCAAGUCGAGCGGAUCUUCAUUAGCUUGCUUUUGAAGAUCAGCGGCGGACGGGUGAGUAACACGUUGGCAACCUGCCUGUAAGACUGGGAUAACUUCGGGAAACCGGAGCUAAUACGGGAUAAUCCUUUCCCUCACAUGAGGGAAAGCUGAAAGACGGUUUCGGCUGUCACUUACAGAUCGGCCCGCGGCGCAUUAGCUAGUUGGUGAGGUAAUGGCUCACCAAGGCGACGAGGCGUAGCCGACCUGAGAGGGUGAUCGGCCACACUGGGACUGAGACACGGCCCAGACUCCUACGGGAGGCAGCAGUAGGGGAUCUUCCGCAAUGGACGAAAGUCUGACGGAGCAACGCCGCGUGAACGAUGAAGGCCUUCGGGUCGUAAAGUUCUGUUGUCAGGGAAGAACAAGUACCGGAGUAACUGCCGGUACCUUGACGGUACCUGACCAGAAAGCCACGGCUAACUACGUGCCAGCAGCCGCCGUAA
RNAcentral lists this ribosomal RNA (512 nucleotides) under uncultured bacterium. RNAcentral's name for it is "partial 16S ribosomal RNA". It matches the Rfam family "Bacterial small subunit ribosomal RNA", at positions 28 to 523 of the family's 1533-position model. The record is from RNAcentral.